RNAcentral lists this ribosomal RNA (528 nucleotides) under Serratia fonticola. Its description in RNAcentral is "partial 23S ribosomal RNA". It matches the Rfam family "Bacterial large subunit ribosomal RNA", at positions 1705 to 2213 of the family's 2925-position model. The record is from RNAcentral. Lineage: Bacteria; Pseudomonadati; Pseudomonadota; Gammaproteobacteria; Enterobacterales; Yersiniaceae.
UGAAGGAACUAGGCAAAAUGGUGCCGUAACUUCGGGAGAAGGCACGCUGGCGCGUAGGUGAAGAGACUUGCUCUCGGAGCUGAAGCCAGUCGCAGAUACCAGCUGGCUGCAACUGUUUAAUAAAAACACAGCACUGUGCAAACACGAAAGUGGACGUAUACGGUGUGACGCCUGCCCGGUGCUGGAAGGUUAAUUGAUGGGGUCAGCCGCAAGGCGAAGCUCUUGAUCGAAGCCCCAGUAAACGGCGGCCGUAACUAUAACGGUCCUAAGGUAGCGAAAUUCCUUGUCGGGUAAGUUCCGACCUGCACGAAUGGCGUAAUGAUGGCCAGGCUGUCUCCACCCGAGACUCAGUGAAAUUGAACUCGCUGUGAAGAUGCAGUGUACCCGCGGCAAGACGGAAAGACCCCGUGAACCUUUACUAUAGCUUGACACUGAACAUUGAGCCUUGAUGUGUAGGAUAGGUGGGAGGCUUUGAAGUGUGGACGCCAGUCUGCAUGGAGCCAACCUUGAAAUACCACCCUUUAAUGU